Molecule: ribosomal RNA, 274 nt
Filed under: uncultured bacterium
Lineage: Bacteria
Description: partial 16S ribosomal RNA
Rfam family: Bacterial small subunit ribosomal RNA
Source: RNAcentral
AUACGGAGGGCGCAAGCGUUGCCCGGAAUCACUGGGUGUAAAGGGUGCGUAGGCGGGGCUGUAAGUCAGAGGUGAAAGCCCGCGGCUCAACCGGGGAAUUGCCUCUGAUACUGCAGCUCUUGAGUCCCGGAGAGGCCGCUGGAAUUCCUGGUGUAGCGGUGAAAUGCGUAGAUAUCAGGAGGAACACCGGAGGCGAAGGCGGGCGGCUGGACGGGGACUGACGCUGAGGCACGAAAGCGUGGGGAGCAAACAGGAUUAGAAACCCUAGUAGUCC